GCCUCGCACGGCCUCGCACGACUGCGCACGGCUGCAUCGCACCGACACCUUGCACCGACACCUCGCACGGCCUCGCACGGCUGCAUUGCAUGGCCACUGCGCGCCGACACCUCGCACGGCCUCGCACGGCCUCGCACGACUGCGCACGGCUGCAUUGCACAGCUGCAUCGCACGGCUGCUGCGCACCGACACCGCGCACGGCCUUGCACGACUGCGCACAACUGCGCACAACUGCGCAUGGCUGCAUCGCACCGACACCUUGCACCGACACCUCGCACGGCCUCACACGACUGCGCACGGCUGCACACGGCCUCACACGGCCACGUCACACGGACACAUUGCACAGACUCAUUGCACAGACGCAUUGCACGGCCUUGCACGACCGUGCACGACUGCGCACAGCUGCAUCGCACAGCCACCACACACAGACACCUUGCACGGCCUCACACGACUGCGCACGGCUGCACACGGCCUCACACGGCCACGUCACACGGACACAUUGCACAGACUCAUUGCACAGACACAUUGCACGGCUGCGCACGACUGCGCACAGCCUCGCACGGCCUCACACGACUGCGCACGGCCUCGCACGGCCACGCACAGCAUUGCACGGCCUCGCACAGCUGCACGCCACAUUGCACGGGCUUGCACGACCGCACGCCUGCGCGCAGGCUCGCACAGCUGUGCACGACGGCACACAAGCAUGCACACGCUCGCACGCGCUUGCACGGCCUCGCACGGCUGCUCGCGGCCUCGCACGACGGCGCUCGGCCUCGCACGACUGCGCACGGCCGUUCACAGCCGCGCACACGGGGCACGUUCGGCUCCGCGCGGCCUGCUCGCACGGGGAUUUGCACGAGGGCUGUAAGGCUCGCGCACGGGCGGGAGGCCUGGCACGGGCCCUCGCACGGGGCCGAACGCUGCCGGCGCCGCGCAGAGAACGGGCAGUGGGAGAUCUGCCACCGCGCGGGCCGGCACCACGCGCCGCCGGGGGAGGCCGCGCACGAGGACGUCACCUUCUACCUCGUCAUCCGCCGCAAGCCGCUCUUCUACAUCGCCAACGUCCUCGUGCCCUGCGUGCUCAUCACCGUGCUCGCCGUCAGCGUCUUCUACCUGCCCCCCGACGCCGGUGCGCGCCCCCCCCCGCACGAGGGUUCGCACGAGGGCUCGCACGGGGAGCUGGGCUUGCACGGGGAGCUGGGCUUGCACGGGGGCUUGGGAUUCGCAUGGGGCCUUGCAGAGGGAACUGUGGCCUGCACGGGGGGGGGUCCGCAGGGCCUUGCACGAGGAGCUGGGGUUCGCACGGGGGCUUGCGCGGGGAAUCAGGGCUUGCACAGGGCAGGAGGCCUUGCACGGGGAAUCACAGCUUGCACGGGGGCUUGCACGAGGAGCCGGGCCUUGCACAGGGCCUUGCACAGGGAAUCGUGGCUU
RNAcentral lists this long non-coding RNA (1431 nucleotides) under Dromaius novaehollandiae (emu). Its description in RNAcentral is "lncRNA (ENSDNVG00000017497.1)". Lineage: Eukaryota; Metazoa; Chordata; Aves; Casuariiformes; Dromaiidae. The record is from RNAcentral.